This 403-nucleotide ribosomal RNA is filed under the name bacterium. RNAcentral's name for it is "partial 16S ribosomal RNA". It matches the Rfam family "Bacterial small subunit ribosomal RNA", at positions 355 to 776 of the family's 1533-position model. The record is from RNAcentral.
UGGGGAAUAUUGCACAAUGGGGGAAACCCUGAUGCAGCGACGCCGCGUGAACGAAGAAGGUAUUCGUAUCGUAAAGUUCUGUCCUAUGGGAAGAUAAUGACAGUACCAUAGAAGAAAGCUCCGGCUAAAUACGUGCCAGCAGCCGCGGUAAUACGUAUGGAGCGAGCGUUGUCCGGAAUUAUUGGGCGUAAAGGGUACGCAGGCGGUUUAAUAAGUCGAAUGUUAAAGAUCGGGGCUCAACCUCGCAAAGCAUUGGAAACUGAUAAACUUGAGUAGUGGAGAGGAAAGUGGAAUUCCUAGUGUAGUUGUGAAAUACGUAGAUAUUAGGAGGAAUACCAGUAGCGAAGGCGACUUUCUGGACACAAACUGACGCUGAGGUACGAAAGCGUGGGGAGCAAACAGG